GACGAACGCUGGCGGCGUGCUUAACACAUGCAAGUCGAACGGAAAGGCCCUGCUUUUGUGGGGUGCUCGAGUGGCGAACGGGUGAGUAACACGUGAGUAACCUGCCCUUGACUUUGGGAUAACUUCAGGAAACUGGGGCUAAUACCGGAUAGGAGCUCCUGCUGCAUGUUGGGGGUUGGAAAGUUUCGGCGGUUGGGGAUGGACUCGCGGCUUAUCAGCUUGUUGGUGGGGUAGUGGCGUACCAAGGCUUUGACGGGUAGCCGGCCUGAGAGGGUGACCGGCCACAUUGGGACUGAGAUACGGACCAGACUCCUACGGGAGGCAGCAGUGGGGAAUAUUGCACAAUGGGCGGACGCCUGAUGCAGCAACGCCGCGUGCGGGAUGACGGCCUUCGGGUUGUAAACAGAUUUCGCCUGUGACGAAGCGUGAGUGACGGUAAUGGGUAAAGAAGCACCGGCUAACUACGUG
Molecule: ribosomal RNA, 468 nt
Filed under: uncultured bacterium
Lineage: Bacteria
Description: partial 16S ribosomal RNA
Rfam family: Bacterial small subunit ribosomal RNA
Source: RNAcentral